UUUUUUUUUUUUUUUUUUUUUUAAGGGCCACACCUGCGGCAUAUGGAAGUUUUCAGGUCAAAUCAGAAAUACAGCUUCCUGCCUAUACCACAGCCACAGUAACUUGGGAUCCUAGCCGUGUCUGUGACCUACACCAAAGCUCUUAGUGAUAUCAGAUCCUUAACCCACUGAGAAAGGCCAGGAAUCAAACCCGCAUCCUCAUGGACACUAGCCAGGUUCGUGACCACUAAGCCACGAUGGGAACGCUGGUUAUCUCUUUUAUAUAUAGCAGUGUGUAUAUUUUAGUCCUAAACUCCUAAUUUAUCCCUCCCCCCCUUUCUCCUUUGGUAACCAUGAGUUCAUUUUCUAUGGCUGUGGGUCUAUUUCUAUUUUGUAUAUAAGUUGAUUUGUAUGCUAUCUUUAGAUUCCGUAUAUAAGUGAUAUCACAUGAUAUUUGUACUUCUCUGGCUUACUUCCGUAUGAUCAUCUCUGGCUUCACCCAUGUUGCUGAAAAUGGUAUUAUUUCAUUCUUUUUUAUGGCUGAGUAAUAUUCCAUUGUGUAUAUGGAUCACAUCUUUUUAUCCAUCCAACUACUUGUCAAAGUCUUAUACAUGGUACAGGGGAAAUCAAAUGUACAACGUGAGUGGCCAAUUCAGCCCCCAGGUCUGCAAGCUAGAAUUCACACAGGUUUCCAAGGAAAUGAGAAGAUAACAGUACACUGGAUGCACCUCCUCCAGAACAAGGAGCUUUUUCUCCUUGUUCACCCUCUGAACAGAGCUUUUUCUCCGUGACACCCAAUGCCAUCUGCAGAUUUCCUUCUGCGGAUUCUAAAGGGAGGAUGUCUUCCUGCCAUCGCCUCAUGGACAACAAACGUGGAAGUACAGAGGGUUGCAAAGCGUCUUCUGCAGAGCCCCAGGCCUGGGAGGGGAGGUUCACGGGAGAAGUGGGGAGCAGAGAACGUCUGGUUUGGGACCAACAAGGAUCCCCCAUCACCAGGACCAACACCACCAAGGCCCCCCUCACACACACCCCAGCCCAGAACUCCAUAAGGGGACGGUCCAUGGACUGAGAUGACAGCUCAUCCCCGUCACAUGGUGGAAUGGGGCUUGUGAGAAAAAGGAAGUGUAAUUGUAGGAAAUUCACUUACCUUUCUAUUACCCCCCAUGCUCGUUCUUGCUACACAUGAGCUCUCUGAGGAGAAAACCCCAGUCAUAUAAGAUUGAGAGGAGGCAGCAGCCUAAAGGUAGAGUUCACCCUUGUCGAGCUAACGUGCUCCCCUGUGCUAUCCAAGAGUGUGGGGCCCCAGUUCCCACACCUGCCGGUUGUCUCCUUGAGGAGGAUGCGGAGGCACGUGUCUCUGGGGGCCAAUCUUGUUGGGCUUCAAGGCCUCUUCAAGGAGACUGAGCUCAAAGCCUCUGGCCGAGACCAGCAUCACCAGACUCUUAUCAUCACCCCACCUGUCUCGUUGGAAUGCCUCCUCCCCCACCUUGAGCAAUGACGCCUACUCCUUCCUACCCCUACUAGGAAAGGUAGGUGGCCUGCUCCUCACCCCACCCCUACAGGGCCCUUGUAAGCCCCCAACCAACAAGCAAGUGUAUCACAAGACCCCAUCUUUCCCCAGCCAAUCAGCAGAUCAGUGGGGUAUCCUGAGACCUCUCCUCUCCCUGGGCUAUAAAAACAGACAUGACCACGUGACCACAUGCUGGGUGUUGGCUCUCCCUACUUGUCAGGAAGUCGUCCGGCUGCGCUUGCAGUGUCUCUUAUCUCAAUAAAUUACUUUCUCUCCACCUCGCCAGGCUCCACAAAUUCUUCUUUCUUUGCACCCUGCUAUGAGUCCAGAAAUUCUUUUCUGACCUGCACACAAGGACCGUGACAAAUCACCCUUCCUCUUUGUGCCUUCGUCACCUCCACUCUCCCCAGAUCUUCCACUUUUCAACUCAUCCCUGACCCGCAUCUUUCCAACUCAACGUUCCCCCCAAAGGAAUCCAGACCCAAGUGUCUCUUGCUACGGGUCCAUCGUCACAGAUCUGAGCCUGAGCCAGACCUGGUAGACACCCUGCUGUCCAUGGCUCUGCUCUUGGUAGAAAAAAAGGAUAGAUGUGGGAGGGGUGGGAAUGGGGAAACUGGGAGGUAAUUUGCUUCUUGCGUUUCUUUUUUACUUUCAUGUAUGUUGGGGGAGGGGGAUAAAGAGACUCGUUUUGCUCCCCAAGUGUUGAAAUCCUGCCAGCUACCAUCAUCAGGUCUGCUGUGAGAUCUGUAACCCACCAGCAGCCCACUUGAGCUAUGGUUCAAAAAGUAUGUACAGCCUUUAAAUCCACGGGUGCCUUACACAGCCGCCUUCCAGUGUCUUAGCCCCACCUCUCUUCCUAAAUCCUGGGUCUUCUCCCUCCUUACAUCUCACCCAGACUAGAGAGAUUAGGAGAAGGAAGGGUAUCCCACCAUAUAUAUAUAUAUAUAUAUUUUUUUUUAAAUAGGUUCCUUGACGAUUUCCCCUUGUGGGAAGAACCCUGAGGUUUUAAAUCCAUAAAUCAACAGAUAAUAGUUCUCAAUUCUAAGUCUGACAUGCUGAAAUUUAGAGCCACCAUUAAGUCCUCUCCCACUUUUCAUAAUCGACCCCCAAUCCAGUGUUCCCCAUGCAACGGGGCCCCCGAGAGAUGUGCUGUGGGAGGGCACCAGAGUUCCUGCUGUCAGUCUCAAAGGUAGCAGCCCUCUGGAUAUCUCUCACUUCCCCUUAAUAAGAUGCAAUAGAUCUAUUAUUCGUUGGCUUAUCGAAACCUUUUCUUGAAGUUCUUUAUAGUUUCAGCUUCUAAUGAAGUCCUAUGGCCUAGAAGCUAUUUAAGGGUGAAACGAAUUCGGACCCUUGUAUCAAUUCCUUCGCCAAGUCCUUCCAUCAUGAGUCUCCCUCGGAGUCCAGUAAUGUCUCGAAAGCCAGAAAACCUAAAGCCCUGAGAAGUUCCCACACCCGACUUGCUCUGUACUUGAGAGCAGAUCCAUGGUCAGCUUUCGUUUUGGAACUACUUCCCAACUACUCCUCUCGUCCAGUACAAGGUCUAAUCCCAAGGGUUUCAACAUGCAAUAUUGGAAAGAACAAUUCCUUUCUCCUUCCUCUUCCCUAGAGUGGCUAGUGAACCUGACUUGAUAUUCCAAUUGAAUUGCUACGAGAGCACACCCACCACAAAGGCUUCAUUCAUCUCCACAAGAGUGUCCACGCUCUACUUUGCAGGAAUUUCCUUCCUUUCACUCUUUUGCUUUCUCUCCCUUUGAAGGUUGUAUUUUAAUUACCAGAGGAAGGUUUUCUUCUACAUGAAAGGAAAUGGGAAACUAGGCUGAAAACUCCAUUUCUUUCCAUAACAUCAACUGUGAUAUGCAUCCUUACGCUAAAUAUAAGCGUAAUGUCUUGUGUGUGUUGGGAGUAGCGUGAGUGCCUUUUAAGAGAGGAUUAUUCUAAUCAGAAAGACUAAUUGCAGACAGAGCCUCACAUUUUACAAGGGGCUCUUCCAGCUAUGGUCUCAACCCUGUAGAAAGUGAGGGUCAGGGCAAUGAGGAUCAUUUGAGAGACCCUCGAGCUAAGUACCUUGGGACAUCCAUGGCUGGUCCUAGCCUCUGGUUGUGAUGCCACAGAGCCAUCAAAUCAGGCAGAUCUCACAUCUAAAACCAGUCCACACCCCAGCUGACUUUACACACAUGCACACAAAUAAGUGCAUGUAAAACAGGUGGAACCUGAAUAAGGAUUAUCCUAACAUCAACUUCCUGGUCAUGAUGUUGAUGCUGUCGUCAGGGCAAGAUAUUAUCAUCAUCAGGGGAACCUGUGGGGGGUGGUGGCGAGGGGGAGAACAGGACCUCUUCGUGCUAUGUUUCGCAACUUCCUGUGUAUCUAGAAUUAUUUCAAAAUAACAAAUUCCAAAAAAUUGGUUUCACUUAAAUAUAAAUGUUUAGAAGUCUUUUUCAGAAGGAUAUUUAAUUUUUUUAUGAAAUAAUGAAUCUUCUAAUACAAGCAUUGGUGUACCCUACUGUAGUAAGACCUCAUAUAACUAACUACAUCUACGACAAAUUUAGAAUCUAUUUCCAAAUAAAGUCACAUUCUGAGACUAAAGGGGUAAGGACUUGAACAUAGCUUUUAGGGAGAGAAGGUGGAGAAAAGAUGCAAAGGCAGACAUGCACACUGGGAGACGCCCAUGUGAUAAAAGAGGCAGAUUAGAACCAGGUAUCUACUGGCCAAGGAACACCAAAGACUGCUGGUCACUCCAGAAGCUAAGAGAAAGGUAUGGGACUGUCCCCUAGACCGUUCGGAGGAAGCAUGGCCCAGCUGAUAUCUUGGUUUCAGACUUCCAGCCUCCAGGAUUGUGGAAGAAUAAAGUUCUGCAGUUUUCAGCCCAAACAAAGCAAAACAAGAAACAAAAUAGUGGACCCAACUGUCAAUUGCGCACACACACACAUACUAAUGCAUUGCUCCACCUGAUGAGGGAAAGCAUGGCAUACUUUUGUGUUUUUUUUAUUUAUUUAUUUUUUUUGUCUUUUUUUGCUAUUUCUUGGGCCGCUCCCGCGGCAUAUGGAGGUUCCCAGGCUAGGGGUCCAAUCGGAGCUGUAGUCUCCGGCCUACGCCAGAGCCACAGCAACGCGAGAUCCGAGCCGCGUCUGCAACCUACACCACAGCUCACGGCAACGCCGGAUCGUUAACCCACUGAGCAAGUGCAGGGACCGAACCCGCAACCUCAUGGUUCCUAGUUGGAUUCGUUAACCACUGCGCCACGACGGGAACUCCCUUUUGUUUUAUUUAAAUUACUUUUUACUGAUGAAUUCCAAAAUCAUUACCACAAUGAACUCCCAUGAUACAACUCCAUGAAAUAUAAUGGAAAAUUACUUUGAAAGAUGACAGCAAGGGGUGAAUUUAACAGGGCUAGACGUAAAGUGCACACACCUGGGUGUGCAUGUUUGGAGCCGCACAGGAGUCUCCAUAUCUAACGGCUGUCAGCAGGGCUUGUGUGGAACAAAAGCUCAGCCAGGGCAAGAGAGGACCCUGUUUACAACUGGACGGGCCAGACAAUACCCACAGUAUCAUUAUCUUCACUCUGGGGCACCACGGUUUCAGGGGGACAUUAAUGAACAGCAGCGGACACCAAGGAGAAGGACAAGAUUUCUCACCAUAAGGAACUGGUGAAGAAAUAUUUAAUCUGGAGAAACAGAUGCGAACGGGGCUUUGGAGCUGUCUUCUAUUUCAAAGGCUGUCAUGUGGAAGUAAGAUUAAAUCAGUCUACAGAAAUUAAAGCUAAGAUCCGUGGUAGGUGUUAGACAAUGGACCCCUUGGCUCUUUAUAAAGGAGACUGAGUCUCAUUAGGACUUGCCUGCUCCAAAUAUGUCUCCAAAUGGUCUUCUAUCUUCUCAGAGUCCCUGCCUUUCAUGUCGCUCCAUCAGGAGAAGGGAAGCUUUGACAGAGAAUUUUUGCAAACAAUGAUCGAAAAAAGAUAACACCUCAAGCUAUUCCUUCCUACGCACACAUUUGCAUAUAUUGGUUUCACAAACUAGUUGUCACCUAGCAAAACAGAAAACAAGGAGUUCCUGCUGUGGGGCAGUGGGUCAAUGAUCUGGCUUGUCUCUGUGGAAGUGGUGGUUUGAUCCCCGGCCCAGGCACAGUGAAUUAAGGAACUGGCCUUGCUGCAGCUGUGGUGUAGGUCAUAGCUCCAGCUCAGAUUUAUUUGGUCCCUGGCCCAGGGAAACUCCAUAUGCAGGGAGAGCCAUAAAAGAAAAAAAAAAAAAAAGCAGAAAACAAGUCCCUACAAGAAUGGGAGCCUCAACCAUAGAGCUUAGAGAAAACGGCAAAGUGGGCAGAGAAAGAGUUUGGGAGGAAAGAAUAUACUCAAUACGCAGGACCCAUUGAAGGUCCUUCCUUCAAAGCCCCAUUUGCAGACAAAUGGGGUUUUUACCAUAUUCCCUUCCUUUCCAAGAUGAGCUGCUCUGGACAACCCACUGGCUUUACACACACACACACACACACACACACACACACGUGCACGCACAUGCACACGCACACGUGCAUGAACGUAAAAUGGAUGCAUCCGUGUAAGGACACCAUUCUAAUGUCAAUUUCCUGGUUGUGAUGCAAGAUGUUACCAUUGGGGGAAACUGGAUGGAGUUACACAGGACCUCUGUGGGCUAUCUUUUGCAACCUAUUGUGACUCUAUAAUUAUUUCAAAAUAAGGUUUUGUUUUGUUUUGUUUUAAAACAAACUUGGUUUUCACUGACGUUAAUUUUGUUCAUGUCCUCUAUUUUUUUACAAAAAUUUUUGACAAUCUAUAGAUUCCGUUAUUGAUCACACUGACACAGACCCAACAUCUCUGACACCAAGACAAGUAACUGGCCGUCUCCCCUUACUCUGCCCAGAUGCUCUUUCACCCUCUCCUCCCUAGACAGGUGCAAACAUGCCACUAGUGGCCACUCUGCCAGUGGGACGGGAGGCAUGGAGGCAGGAGAGGGAAAUGGGUCCAGCAAAGAAGGAAAAGAAGGAAGAAAGGGGAGAGAGAAACGGGGAGAGAGAAGAGGGAGAAGCAGGCGAGGGAAGAAGGAAGAAGCAAAGCCAGCAUUUGUCAUUCAAAAAGAUAA
Molecule: long non-coding RNA, 6576 nt
Filed under: Sus scrofa (pig)
Lineage: Eukaryota; Metazoa; Chordata; Mammalia; Artiodactyla; Suidae
Description: lncRNA (ENSSSCG00065072682.1)
Source: RNAcentral